This 546-nucleotide ribosomal RNA is filed under the name uncultured Glomeromycotina. RNAcentral describes it as "SSU rRNA". It matches the Rfam family "Eukaryotic small subunit ribosomal RNA", at positions 548 to 1098 of the family's 1831-position model. Lineage: Eukaryota; Fungi; Glomeromycota. The record is from RNAcentral.
UUGGAGGGCAAGUCUGGUCCCAGCAGCCGCGGUAAUUCCAGCUCCAAUAGCGUAUAUUAAAGUUGUUGCAGUUAAAAAGCUCGUAGUUGAAUUUCGGGGUUCUACCGUUGGUCGGGCUUUGUCUGUACUGGCGUGUAGAAUUUCUACCUUCUGGGGAACCAUCAUGUUAUUAAUUUAGCGUGGUGGGAAACCAGGACCUUUACCUUGAAAAAAUUAGAGUGUUUAAAGCAGGCUAACGUCUGAAUACAUUAGCAUGGAAUAAUGAAAUAGGACGGAUUGGUUCUAUUUCGUUGGUUUCUAGGAUCACCGUAAUGAUUAAUAGGGAUAGUUGGGGGCAUUAGUAUUCAAUUGUCAGAGGUGAAAUUCUUGGAUUUAUUGAAGACUAACUAUUGCGAAAGCAUUUGCCAAGGAUGUUUUCAUUAAUCAAGAACGAAAGUUAGGGGAUCGAAGACGAUCAGAUACCGUCGUAGUCUUAACCAUAAACUAUGCCGACUAGGGAUCGGACGAUGUUAAUAUUAAUGACUCAUUCGGCGCCUUACGGGAAAC